Molecule: transfer RNA, 71 nt
Filed under: Xenocyprioides parvulus
Lineage: Eukaryota; Metazoa; Chordata; Actinopteri; Cypriniformes; Xenocyprididae
Description: tRNA-Ser
Source: RNAcentral
AAGGAAGGACAGAAAUCAAUAAGUACUGCUAAUCCUUAUGCACCGGGGUUAAAAUCCGCGGCUUCCUUACG